CCUUUGUUGCAGAGACGGAGGUCUAAAUCCCUCUAUUAAACCCCAGUUAGAUGGCUCCCAUCACUUGAUGAGCAGGCACUGAAGCAGACUCCUCUUCAGAAACCACUUCUUGAAUUUUAUCAUCUUCUUCUGGGAAUUCUAAACUUUGGUGCUCACAAGGAAUCGACCGGAGAAAGCGUGAGUUGUUCGGUCAACGCAGAGGCUGUUCACGGCUCCGGUCUGCGGUGGCACAACUCCGUUCUGAGCAGCACAAGACUCUAGAAUUAGGAAACCCAGUUCGGUGAGUUUCACUAAUCUAGGGAGAUUACCGAACAAGGUUCACCUGGGUAACAAACUUCUCGAGAUACUCUGACCAUGGCGAGGUGGAAGGAUGGUUGCUGUGGCACCAGAGUACCAGACAAUGGAAUGGCACUUGAUGAACUGAACAAAGCCGACGCGGAGGCUAAGGAGAUGAACUCAGGCUUGUACACACCUUCACAGAGAUGCCCAAGGAUCCAACUAAAGCUU
This 507-nucleotide long non-coding RNA is filed under the name Zea mays. Its description in RNAcentral is "drought-responsive long non-coding RNA". Lineage: Eukaryota; Viridiplantae; Streptophyta; Magnoliopsida; Poales; Poaceae. The record is from RNAcentral.